GAUGAACGCUAGCUACAGGCUUAACACAUGCAAGUCGAGGGGUAACGAGAGGAAAGCUUGCUUUCCUUGUCGACGACCGGCGCACGGGUGAGUAACGCGUAUCCAACCUGCCCCCAACUAGGGAAUAACCUUGCGAAAGUAAGACUAAUACCCUAUAAUUUCCUCAGAUGUCAUCUGACGAGGAAUAAAGAUUUAUCGGUUGUGGAUGGGGAUGCGUCUGAUUAGCUCGUUGGCGGGGUAACGGCCCACCAAGGCAACGAUCAGUAGGGGUUCUGAGAGGAAGGUCCCCCACAUUGGAACUGAGACACGGUCCAAACUCCUACGGGAGGCAGCAGUGAGGAAUAUUGGUCAAUGGGCGGAAGCCUGAACCAGCCAAGUAGCGUGCAGGAUGACGGCCCUAUGGGUUGUAAACUGCUUUUAUACAGGAAUAAAGUUAGCCACGUGUGGUUAUUUGUAGGUACUGUAUGAAUAAGGACCGGCUAACUCCGUGCCAGCAGCCGCCGUAA
RNAcentral lists this ribosomal RNA (506 nucleotides) under uncultured bacterium. RNAcentral's name for it is "partial 16S ribosomal RNA". It matches the Rfam family "Bacterial small subunit ribosomal RNA", at positions 28 to 523 of the family's 1533-position model. The record is from RNAcentral.